AUCGGCGCCGCUGCUGGUAGCCUGCUACCGAUCAGGGGCUAUGGCGCAGUUGGUAGCGCGACUCGUUCGCAUC
This 73-nucleotide transfer RNA is filed under the name Mycobacterium tuberculosis variant bovis AF2122/97. Its description in RNAcentral is "tRNA-Ala". Lineage: Bacteria; Bacillati; Actinomycetota; Actinomycetes; Mycobacteriales; Mycobacteriaceae. The record is from RNAcentral.